Rosa rugosa (rugosa rose) is the source of this 1877-nucleotide long non-coding RNA. RefSeq lists it as uncharacterized. The record is from RefSeq and is a predicted model, not a curated record. NCBI's taxonomy places the organism in Eukaryota, Viridiplantae, Streptophyta, Magnoliopsida, Rosales, Rosaceae. The transcript has 10 exons.
UAAGUUAAUCACACGACAGUCAUCACACAACACAUGAGUUUUUGCUGUUGUCUGAGUUAAUCAGACGACAGAUUUUUUAAACCAGUCGUUUCACCCUCUACUCAUCCAACACAUCGUUAUUUGUUAAAUUUGAGAGAUUUCAGACAACAGUUAUAAGGACAUCUGUUGUCUGAAUAAUGGAAAAAACAAACAAACAAUUAAUUUACAUUUAUUUUUUUCCACUCAAAACACUCACAACCAAAAUCUUGUUUCCUUCCCUUAGCUAAAAAAUUAGGUCAUUCGAUCUCCCACCCAAACCGCGCGCGCUCUCGGCCUCUUUGGACUGAUCACCAAAAUCGUGUUCCCUCCCUUGGCUGAAAAAUUAGGUCAUAUUCUCCCACCCAAAAUCGCUCUCAGCCUCUCUGACUCACCAAAAUCGUGUUCCCUCCCUUAGCUAAAAAAUUAGGUCAUUCUCCCACCCAAAAUCGCUCUCAGCCUCUCUCUUACUCACCAUUGCUCUCAGCCUCGUUCUGACUCACUAUCAAUCCCCCUCACACUCAAUCCCGUUCACCCACUAUUUCUCUCCCUUCCAAUUCAAGACCCUUUUGAUUCUUCCUCACCUUUCCAAUUCAAGACUUCUUGAAGUUCUCUUCUCUUUCGUCCUUAAAGCAGUUGGCGGACUCGGCGCUCACCUUCUUCACCCUCUCCAGGACUUCGACUUCGUCCAGUUCAGUCGGCACUCGGCAGUCGUAUUCGAUUCUCCAAAUCUCCAGUUCGUCGCCUCCUCCUCGGCUUCUCCACUUUUGGUUCUGCAGAUCAAGAAAUCACCAGCAAUUUGGGGCAAUGAUUCAAUGAAUUCAAUAUCAAGACAUCACCAGCAAUUUGGGGCAAUGAUUCAAUGAAUUCAAUGUAAGAUUUUCAGAUUUUGUUUAAUUGAAGUUUGAUGUGGGUUUUGAUGUUUUAUCGGUAUUGUUUGUGCUCGAGUUUGGGAUUUGAGUGAUCGAUUCUAAAAGGUUUAAGUUCUGGACGGUUGAUUGAAAAAAGUACAAGACAUAAUAUGACAAAUCUCGGUGUUUGGAUUUUGAUUUGAGGAAGCUGAAAACUUAUCUGGUUUGGAAUUUUGUGCAGCCAAUUCGGAUUUGAGGUUGUGAUAACUUGAUCAAUAUAAGAUGUCUCCAGCCAAUUCGGAUUUGGAUUUGAGGUUGCUGAUAACUUGCUUCAUGAAGCCACUAGGAAUCUAGAAAGUUUGAUAUUUUUCCCCCAGACCCUUAGAAGCAAGAAAGAUAUUCAAGGGAGGCUUGACAAAGAACAAGCAGUUCUUUGUUUUGCUCAACUCACCAGCAUUGUACUGAUAGCUAGAGUGUGGAUCUUGCAUAUCGAAUUAGCAUGGGCAGAAUAAGGUCAUUGUAUAUAGAUUAAUGACUUGUGCGACUGUUGAAGAAAAGAUAUACAGAAAACAGUAGUGUUAGAUCGUUGGAUCUAGUGGACUUUUUCGAUUUCCAUGGCGGAUUCAAAUUCAGUUAAAGCCAGCCUUUGAUCUUUUUGCUUAUUCCUUCUCUAGCCUCCCACCCCACCUUCUCUAACCUUGGACAUUUUCAGCAAGUGGGAGAGAAGAAGUAAAGCAGCAUAUUCCCAGGAGGAUAUCGAUGUGGUCAGAACUGAGUGGGCAAAGUUUGUGGUUAAAACAUAUAUGUAAGAUUUGUGUUGGUACUUCUUGGAGACCUAGUUCAAAGUUUGUGGUUAUGUUUUGGUUGGACAGGAUCAGUAGCUAGUACUUUGAAUUGAUAUGUAAGAAAUACUUUAACAAUUGGGUACUCUAUUUCUAGUUUCGGUGUGUUUUGGCAAUGUAUGACAAUGAUGUGCUAUAGUAAAUGACAUUUGAACUAAUUUGUGUUUCA